Episyrphus balteatus (marmalade hoverfly) is the source of this 1602-nucleotide RNA transcript. It is a transcript of the gene named bifunctional arginine demethylase and lysyl-hydroxylase PSR, with no coding region annotated. The record is from RefSeq and is a predicted model, not a curated record. The transcript has 6 exons. NCBI's taxonomy places the organism in Eukaryota, Metazoa, Arthropoda, Insecta, Diptera, Syrphidae.
GCACGCACACAACUGCAUGCCAAAACCGUCAAAAGACAUUUUUCAUUUUCAUCUUGACUGUGCAACUAGAUUUUCUUUGGAAUAUAAUUUUUUAUCUAACGAAAAAAAACUAAUUUUAAGUGUUAAAUUAUUCAGUUUAUAUUAGCUAAUUUAUUAAUAACAAUUAAGUAAAAAUGUCCGAUGAAUUUAAAUUGCCACGCCGCUCACGAAAAAGACUACGCGAAGUUAAAAGAAAAGCACGUCCAGAACUAAACGAUAAAGAAUCUUGGACUGCACUUCGCUAUGCCGAUCGCUUCGAACAAUUCACUCAAUUUACCGAUAAUGUCGAUCGAAUCGAUGAAAAUUGUGUGGAUUGCCAGACGUUCAUUGAACGCUAUGAAAAACCAUAUUUGCCUGUGGUAAUUACGAGCACUCAAGAAGGGUGGAAGGCCCAAGAGAAAUGGACAAUGAAUAGACUUGUGAAGAAGUAUCGCAAUCAGAAGUUCAAAUGCGGCGAAGACAAUGAAGGUUACAGUGUCAAGAUGAAAAUGAAAUAUUAUGUGGAAUAUAUGAAGACGACUUUAGAUGAUAGUCCACUUUAUAUAUUCGAUAGCAGUUUCGGAGAGCAUCAUCGUAGAAAAAAGCUCCUUGAUGACUACACAAUUCCAAAGUAUUUUCAAGAUGAUCUCUUCAAGUAUUCGGGAGAGGAUCGUCGUCCACCGUAUCGGUGGUUUGUAAUGGGACCAGCUCGUUCGGGGACGGGAAUCCACAUAGACCCACUUGGGACAAGUGCCUGGAAUGCACUUGUUUUUGGCCACAAGAGAUGGUGCCUCUUCCCAACCAAUACACCAAAGGAAUUAUUAAAAGUUCAAGGAUCUGUUGGUGGCAAACAGCGUGAUGAGGCAAUAACCUGGUUCAGUGUUAUCUAUCCAAAGACAAAGAGGCCCGAUUGGCCAAAAGAAUAUGCUCCAAUAGAAAUUCUGCAAGGCCCGGGAGAGACCGUUUUUGUGCCUGGCGGCUGGUGGCAUGUUGUUCUAAAUCUCGACGAUACUGUAGCUGUCACACAGAAUUUCUGCAGCAAGACCAAUUUCCCAAUUGUGUGGCAUAAAACUGUACGUGGACGUCCAAAAUUGUCUCGCAAAUGGUUACGUAUACUCAGGGAAGUUGAACCUGAACUAGCUAAAAUGGCCGAAAAUAUAAAUAUCGAUCAGAGCACUGGAUUCGCUUCGGACAGUUCUAGCAAUUCUAGUUCAUCGUCGUCAUCUUCAUCGUCGAGCGAUGACGAUAGCGACAGCUGUUCGAAUACGGACAGUGGUCAAGAAAGUCUCACUGCCAAAAAGAAGAAGAAGCGACGUAUGGGAGGAACUAGUGGUGGCGGAAUGAUGUCUUCACGUUCUUGAUCAUCAAUUACAAAGGGCGGCCAAUAUAAUUGUUGUGCGGCGUUCCCUUCGAAUUUUCAAAAAUUAUACAUUUCCUAAAAUCUUAGUAUGAAAUCAAAAAGAGAAAAAAAAAGUACAGAAAAUAUCAAACAUUACUGAUUAACAAAAUGAAAAUCGUUUUCCAAAUUAUUAUUUUUAAAUUGUUAAUGACUUGUAAUUUAAUACGAAAUGACAAAAUAUAUAU